This 390-nucleotide ribosomal RNA is filed under the name uncultured archaeon. RNAcentral's name for it is "bacterial SSU rRNA". It matches the Rfam family "Archaeal small subunit ribosomal RNA", at positions 489 to 879 of the family's 1478-position model. The record is from RNAcentral.
GUGGGUAGAGGAUUAUUGGGCCUAAAGCAUCCGUAGCCGGUUCUGUAAGUUUCCGGUUAAAUCCACUAGCUCAACUAAUGGGCUGCCGGAAAUACUGCAGAACUAGGGAGUGGGAGGGGUAGACGGUAUUCGGUGGGUAGGGGUAAAAUCCUCUGAUCCAUUGAGGACCACCAGUGGCGAAGGCGGUCUGCCAGAACGCGUUCGACGGUGAGGGAUGAAAGCUGGGGGAGCAAACCGGAUUAGAUACCCGGGUAGUCCCAGCUGUAAACGAUGCAAACUCGGUGAUGCAUUGGCUUAUGGCCAAUGCAGUGCCGCAGGGAAGCCGUUAAGUUUGCCGCCUGGGAAGUACGUACGCAAGUAUGAAACUUAAAGGAAUUGGCGGGGGAGCAC